UGGGGAAUUUUGGACAAUGGGCGAAAGCCUGAUCCAGCAAUGCCGCGUGUGUGAAGAAGGCCUUCGGGUUGUAAAGCACUUUUGUCCGGAAAGAAAUCCUUGGCUCUAAUACAGUCGGGGGAUGACGGUACCGGAAGAAUAAGCACCGGCUAACUACGUGCCAGCAGCCGCGGUAAUACGUAGGGUGCAAGCGUUAAUCGGAAUUACUGGGCGUAAAGCGUGCGCAGGCGGUUUGCUAAGACCGAUGUGAAAUCCCCGGGCUCAACCUGGGAACUGCAUUGGUGACUGGCAGGCUAGAGUAUGGCAGAGGGGGGUAGAAUUCCACGUGUAGCAGUGAAAUGCGUAGAGAUGUGGAGGAAUACCGAUGGCGAAGGCAGCCCCCUGGGCCAAUACUGACGCUCAUGCACGAAAGCGUGGGGAGCAAACAGGAUUAGAUACCCUGGUAGUCCACGCCCUAAACGAUGUCAACUAGUUGUUGGGGAUUCAUUUCCUAGUAACGUAGCUAACGCGUGAAGUUGACCGCCUGGGGAGUACGGUCGCAAGAUUAAAACUUAAA
RNAcentral lists this ribosomal RNA (556 nucleotides) under uncultured bacterium. RNAcentral's name for it is "partial 16S ribosomal RNA". It matches the Rfam family "Bacterial small subunit ribosomal RNA", at positions 355 to 905 of the family's 1533-position model. The record is from RNAcentral.